AACGAACGUUAGCGGCGCGCUUAACACAUGCAAGUCGAGCGAGAAAGAGGGCAACCUCCGGUAAAGCGGCGCACGGGUGAGUAACACGUAGGUAACCUACCCCCAGGUGGUGGAUAACCUCCCGAAAGGGGGCUAAUACAGCAUAAGACCACGCCUUCGAAAGAAGGUGAGGUCAAAGUCGGCCUCUAUUCAUAAGCUGACGCCAGGGGACGGGCCUGCGGCCCAUCAGGUAGUUGGUAGGGUAACGGCCUACCAAGCCGAAGACGGGUAGCUGGUCUGAGAGGAUGAUCAGCCACACUGGAACUGAGACACGGUCCAGACUCCUACGGGAGGCAGCAGUGGGGAAUCUUGCGCAAUGGGCGAAAGCCUGACGCAGCGACGCCGCGUGAGUGAUGAAGGCCUUCGGUUGUAAAGCUCUGUGGGGGGAGACGGAAUAAGUCGUGGCCGAACAUCCACGAUGAUGACGGUAGUCCCCUUAGCAAGCACCGGCUAACUCUGUGCCAGCAGCCGCGGUAAU
RNAcentral lists this ribosomal RNA (517 nucleotides) under uncultured bacterium. RNAcentral describes it as "bacterial SSU rRNA". It matches the Rfam family "Bacterial small subunit ribosomal RNA", at positions 29 to 524 of the family's 1533-position model. The record is from RNAcentral.